GCAUGUAAUGAAACAACACAGUUGUUCAUGUAAAAAACCAUUACUCAAUUUUUAUCAUUUAAAUAAUAGUGUUUUUUUUUAUAUAAACAAUUUUUUUUUCAACAUAAUAUUAAGUAGUUAAUUUUUAAAUUAAUAAAUCAGUAUCACAUUAAUUAUUAUUAAAGCUAAAUCAAGUUUUAUUGUUAAUAGUGCAACAACAUUAUUACAGGUGUAACUGAUACCUAUAUUUUUUUUAAUAAUGUAUACAAAUAUCAAAAUAAUGAUGAUUUUGUCAUUAAAUCAUGAUAAUUUUUGGUGUGUAUGUUUAUCAUAAAACUAAUUAACAAUCAGUGUAAUCAGCAUAAACAUUUAGUAACCUAAAAAAUUAUGUAGGUGCUAUUUUUAUUACCUAUAUAAAAAUAAAAAAUAAAUUUGUUCAAGCAUAAUUAUCAUUGUUGCAUGUGUUGAUAAAUUAUUCAUAUUUUAUGAUAAAAAAAUUAGUUUAACAAAAAAAAAUUUAAACUAAAAAUUAUAUGAUGGUAUUGGUAGAUAGUUUACGACAAUAAUAUUGGUACACGUUGAUAGUGCGUCAAUCAAGUCAAAUUGAAACACAAACAUUUAUAUAUUGCCUAGGUGGAAAAAAAAAAUAAAAAAAAAAAACAAUUAUAAAAUAAACAUACUUGAAAUUAACUGUCAAACAUCAUAUAAAAAGUAUAUAUUGAAUAGUUUUAUCUACAAACAACAAGGCAACCAUCAUCGUCAUCUUGCUUGUUGUAAUUUAUAAAAAUAAUAUUAUUAAAAAUUCAUAGACAAGCUGAUUUUAAAAUCGUUGUCAAGUAUUACAUUUUUAAUUAACUUUGGAAGCUAUUACAUUUGGAGCAAGCAAUUCUAUUAAUAAUUUAAUUGAUGAAAUGAAAAAAAGUUAAUCAUUAAAAAAAAAAUAAAAUCAUCAUUAUUAGG
Molecule: long non-coding RNA, 939 nt
Organism: Aphidius gifuensis
Lineage: Eukaryota; Metazoa; Arthropoda; Insecta; Hymenoptera; Braconidae
Exons: 2
Source: RefSeq, a predicted model, not a curated record